AGGGAUCCACUUAGGAGAACGAGUCAGGUGCAUCUGGAGAAGUGCUUUUCUCCUGCUGCUAUGCAGAUCAGCCAAAAACUAUACAUACGAAAUCUCAGAGAAAUGGAUGAAGUUAAGAAGUUUCCAGCAGAAAAAGGAAAAAACAGGAUACCAAAAUGGCAGAAGGAAAAUGAAGAGAUGGGCUGUAAGAAAAAAAUCAGAACAUCCAAAGAAAAGCAUACCAGGUGGUACGAAGGUAGAUACUCUAUGACACAUCCAGCAACUGAAGAAAAGAAUGCAAACUUUUGUACUUGGAUGUAACAUUUCCCAACAAGACUGAAGAACCUAAAAUGCCCAAGACAAAAACUGAGGAAGGACACACUUCUGUAUUUUAAAGCCAAACUAGUAGGCCUUCACAAAGAAUGCAGACUGUAGGAGUAACGAUCCUGAACCAAAUUUUAAAACUGGCUCAACAUAUUCUUGAAACUACCUGUGCAAAUGCUCAUAAUGUCUUACUCAGAAAGUAAUCACAGUGUUGGAUGCAUGGUUUCUUACAAUAUUCAUG
This is a long non-coding RNA of Gallus gallus (chicken), 544 nucleotides long. The record is from Ensembl. Lineage: Eukaryota; Metazoa; Chordata; Aves; Galliformes; Phasianidae.